Pezoporus occidentalis (night parrot) is the source of this 1448-nucleotide RNA transcript. It is a transcript of the gene named solute carrier family 25 member 33, with no coding region annotated. Lineage: Eukaryota; Metazoa; Chordata; Aves; Psittaciformes; Psittacidae. The transcript is spliced from 8 exons. The record is from RefSeq and is a predicted model, not a curated record.
GCAGCAGUAGCAGCAGAGGCGGCAGCAGCAUGGCGGGCGCCCAGCAGGAGAACACUCUGCUGCACCUCUUCGCCGGGGGAUGCGGAGGAACAGUUGGUGCCAUCUUUACCUGUCCCUUAGAGGUAAUAAAGACUCGGCUCCAAUCUUCAAAGCUAGCUUUCCGGGCUGUCUACUACCCACAAGUCCAGCUGGGGACCAUCAGUGGUGAAGGAAUGGUCAGGCCAACAUCUGUAUCACCUGGGCUCUUUAGUGUUCUCAAGUCAAUUCUGGAAAAAGAAGGACCAAAGUCACUCUUCCGAGGGCUGGGUCCAAACUUGGUCGGGGUUGCACCAUCAAGAGCUGUCUAUUUUGCGUGCUACUCCAAAGCUAAAGAACAAUUUAAUGGCAUUUUUGUGCCCAACAGCAAUGUUGUGCACAUCUGUUCUGCAGGUUCUGCAGCCUUUAUCACAAAUUCCCUCAUGAAUCCUAUAUGGAUGGUGAAAACCAGAAUGCAACUUGAAAGGAAAGUCAGGGGUUCAAAACCAAUGAAUGCUUUGCAGUGUGCUAGAUAUGUUUACCAGACAGAAGGUGUCCGCGGCUUUUAUAGGGGCCUGACUGCUUCCUAUGCUGGGAUUUCUGAGACCAUUAUCUGCUUUGCUAUUUAUGAAAGUUUAAAAAAGCACUUAAAGGAAGUGCAACUGCCCCCUUCUCCUCCUAACGGGACCGAAAGGAACUCAACCAACUUCUUUGGACUGAUGUUUGCUGCUGCUGUUUCCAAGGGCUGUGCUUCUUGUAUUGCUUAUCCACAUGAGGUCAUACGGACACGGCUGCGAGAAGAAGGCACUAAGUACAAGACCUUAAUUCAGACAGCACGUCUGGUAGCACGUGAAGAAGGCUAUUCUGCCUUCUAUAGAGGACUGUUUGCCCAGCUCAUCCGGCAGAUACCAAACACAGCCAUUGUGUUGUCCACCUAUGAGUUAAUUGUGUAUCUGUUAGAAGACAGUGCAAAGUAGCAGAGCCAAGACUGCCGUUACAGACUGUAGACCAAUUUCUUCAUUGAACAAAUAGAGACUGAUGCAGGUGGCAGUGCUGGUGGAAGAGCAAGUCUGUGACCACCUGCUGGAUACUUCCUUUUGGAUUCAUGCCUUCUGAAAGGAGAAGAACUGGUUUGGAAAUGUGCAACUCUGUUGUCUUCCCACUGGAGUCAUGUCACUUUAGCACUGUAAUAGCCUAAUGCCCAAACAAGUUUGAGAGUUCUUCUGGGAUAUUCAAGGUGCAUCAUUUGUUGCUGUGUGAGCAUCCUGGAGUGUUCAAGCAGGACAUUCAUAGUAUGUUUAUCUGCUUUGAGGGUGUGAGAUAUGCACACCAGAAUGUCUUAGGAAAACCAUGUGUACUAGCAAUACUGCUGGAAUAUGAUUGUGGGAGGCUUCUAGCAAAAAAGGAAUUACACUGCUGUGUGCACCACUGCA